This 528-nucleotide ribosomal RNA is filed under the name uncultured Ralstonia sp. Its description in RNAcentral is "bacterial SSU rRNA". It matches the Rfam family "Bacterial small subunit ribosomal RNA", at positions 8 to 526 of the family's 1533-position model. The record is from RNAcentral. Lineage: Bacteria; Pseudomonadati; Pseudomonadota; Betaproteobacteria; Burkholderiales; Burkholderiaceae.
AGAGUUUGAUCCUGGCUCAGAUUGAACGCUGGCGGCAUGCCUUACACAUGCAAGUCGAACGGCAGCAUGAUCUAGCUUGCUAGAUUGAUGGCGAGUGGCGAACGGGUGAGUAAUACAUCGGAACGUGCCCUGUAGUGGGGGAUAACUAGUCGAAAGAUUAGCUAAUACCGCAUACGACCUGAGGGUGAAAGUGGGGGACCGCAAGGCCUCAUGCUAUAGGAGCGGCCGAUGUCUGAUUAGCUAGUUGGUGGGUAAAGGCCCACCAAGGCGACGAUCAGUAGCUGGUYUGAGAGGACGAUCAGCCACACUGGGACUGAGACACGGCCCAGACUCCUACGGGAGGCAGCAGUGGGGAAUUUUGGACAAUGGGCGAAAGCCUGAUCCAGCAAUGCCGCGUGUGUGAAGAAGGCCUUCGGGUUGUAAAGCACUUUUGUCCGGAAAGAAAUGGCUCUGGUUAAUACCUGGGGUCGAUGACGGUACCGGAAGAAUAAGGACCGGCUAACUACGUGCCAGCAGCCGCGGUAAUAC